This 77-nucleotide transfer RNA is filed under the name Betaproteobacteria bacterium RBG_16_64_18. Its description in RNAcentral is "tRNA-Met". It matches the Rfam family "tRNA". Rfam says of the family: Transfer RNA (tRNA) molecules are approximately 80 nucleotides in length. Their secondary structure includes four short double-helical elements and three loops (D, anti-codon, and T loops). Lineage: Bacteria; Pseudomonadati; Pseudomonadota; Betaproteobacteria. The record is from RNAcentral.
GGGCCUGUAGCUCAGUUGGUUAGAGCAGGGGACUCAUAAUCCCUUGGUCCCUGGUUCGAAUCCAGGCGGGCCCACCA